This is a long non-coding RNA of Triticum aestivum (bread wheat), 640 nucleotides long. RefSeq lists it as uncharacterized. The record is from RefSeq and is a predicted model, not a curated record. The transcript has 2 exons. NCBI's taxonomy places the organism in Eukaryota, Viridiplantae, Streptophyta, Magnoliopsida, Poales, Poaceae.
AAAACAAGAUAAGAAAUAUUACAGUCUUAAUUGGCGCAGUUUGGCCCUUUCAUCACUUGGUAUAUAGUAUUUUGUAGAUACACCAACAAUGAAUUUUCUUAGAUACAUUACAAAUGAUGAAUUAGGGCCUUGCCCCAUUUGGUGUAUUUUGUUACUAUCAAUAUUCUGACUAUGCUGUUGGCGAUGGUGGAACUGGAGGGUACAGAUGCGGCGGCGACAACGUCGACUUCGGUGAGAUGGCUGGUGGACCAAGGACCAAUCCUGCAUUUGCUUUAUAAUAUGAAGUAAUGUCGAUGUGUGAUGUUAACAUCAUGGUUAUCUACAGAUGUAUGGGUACGCUCCGUUUAUGGUCGUCUCUAUAACGUGUGGAGUAUCGAGACCUGUUUACGGAGGUGUGUACACGAUUGGAGGCCACGACGAGGGAUACUUUUAACUGACAUGGAUGACCGCAUGAUCUUCGGAUUGGUCUUCCUACGCUUUAGGCGUUAUACAGACUCUUUGAUUAAGUGUAUUUCGCCUUUUUCUGUUGUUGUUUUUUUGGAACGUGGACUUGGUUAUGGCUAUGUGCAUCUCAAUUAUGCAGAGGCCGGGUGUAAUGCUUAAGUAUUUUAAGUAAUAAAGCACCUUUUAUCAAAAAAAA